This 1287-nucleotide ribosomal RNA is filed under the name metagenome. Its description in RNAcentral is "bacterial SSU rRNA". It matches the Rfam family "Bacterial small subunit ribosomal RNA", at positions 242 to 1520 of the family's 1533-position model. The record is from RNAcentral.
UAGCUAGUUGGUGAGGUAAAGGCUUACCAAGGCGACGAUCUGUAGCGGGUCUGAGAGGAUGAUCCGCCACACUGGAACUGAGACACGGUCCAGACUCCUACGGGAGGCAGCAGUGGGGAAUUUUGGACAAUGGGGGCAACCCUGAUCCAGCCAUGCCGCGUGAGUGAAGAAGGCCUUCGGGUUGUAAAGCUCUUUCGGCCGGGAAGAAAUCGCAUGGGCCAAUACCCUGUGUGGAUGACGGUACCGGAAUAAGAAGCACCGGCUAACUACGUGCCAGCAGCCGCGGUAAUACGUAGGGUGCGAGCGUUAAUCGGAAUUACUGGGCGUAAAGCGUGCGCAGGCGGUUUUGUAAGACAGGCGUGAAAUCCCCGGGCUUAACCUGGGAACUGCGUUUGUGACUGCAAGGCUAGAGUACGGCAGAGGGGGGUGGAAUUCCACGUGUAGCAGUGAAAUGCGUAGAGAUGUGGAGGAACACCAAUGGCGAAGGCAGCCCCCUGGGUCGAUACUGACGCUCAUGCACGAAAGCGUGGGUAGCAAACAGGAUUAGAUACCCUGGUAGUCCACGCCCUAAACUAUGUCAACUAGGUGUUGGGUGGGUAAAACCAUUUAGUACCGUAGCUAACGCGUGAAGUUGACCGCCUGGGGAGUACGGCCGCAAGGUUAAAACUCAAAGGAAUUGACGGGGACCCGCACAAGCGGUGGAUGAUGUGGAUUAAUUCGAUGCAACGCGAAAAACCUUACCUACCCUUGACAUGCCAGGAACUUGCCAGAGAUGGCUUGGUGCCCGAAAGGGAGCCUGGACACAGGUGCUGCAUGGCUGUCGUCAGCUCGUGUCGUGAGAUGUUGGGUUAAGUCCCGCAACGAGCGCAACCCUUGUCGUUAAUUGCCAUCAUUUGGUUGGGCACUUUAACGAGACUGCCGGUGACAAACCGGAGGAAGGUGGGGAUGACGUCAAGUCCUCAUGGCCCUUAUGGGUAGGGCUUCACACGUCAUACAAUGGUUGGUACAAAGGGUUGCCAAGCCGCGAGGCGGAGCCAAUCCCAGAAAGCCGAUCGUAGUCCGGAUUGCAGGCUGCAACUCGCCUGCAUGAAGUCGGAAUCGCUAGUAAUCGUGGAUCAGCAUGUCACGGUGAAUACGUUCCCGGGUCUUGUACACACCGCCCGUCACACCAUGGGAGCGGGUUCCGCCAGAAGUAGGUAGCCUAACCGCAAGGGGGGCGCUUACCACGGCGGGGUUCGUGACUGGGGUGAAGUCGUAACAAGGUAGCCGUAGGGGAACCUGCGGCUG